CUCUUACAUGAACUAUAAGGGAUUGUAGUUUAGAAUUCAGCAGUGUUAUAUUUAUUUUAUAUUACAGUGUUUAAAAAUGAAGUCAAGAAGCAGAAUAUGCCUACAAAUCUGAGGUUGAAUGGAUGUGGCCUAAGAAUUCCAGAAUAGUACUCCAUGGUGAAUUCGUGGAUUUAGAACUCAUGGAUCCAGAGGGCUGAUGCUGCAGAUGUCAUGUGUUCCUGAAGCCCGCUUGGCCUCUCUGAGUCACUGACUCUGCCCCAGUGAGGACAGGAUGAGUUCCUGGCAUGUCACAGGGGGUUUGCUUGGCAUCUGAUGUUGAAUACGGAUUUCACUGAGACUGAACGUGGCAAAGCAAAGAAAAUCUUGCAGAUGAGUGCAAUUGAUAAGGAACUUCCAAAAUACUCUAGAAGCAACUGGAGCUUUCAAUCCACAUAUACAUACUUUCGAUGGCUGCAACUCAUGGAGACGGGAGAAAUCUUCAAACUUGGCCGAAGCUUUGGUGCAGUGUAUUCUCCUAUAGCCUGUACCCAGGACACUGGAAUCAGCUGUACGGAUGUGUGUGUGUGA
This 567-nucleotide long non-coding RNA is filed under the name Chinchilla lanigera (long-tailed chinchilla). RNAcentral describes it as "lncRNA (ENSCLAG00000022349.1)". Lineage: Eukaryota; Metazoa; Chordata; Mammalia; Rodentia; Chinchillidae. The record is from RNAcentral.